This 58-nucleotide transfer RNA is filed under the name Herbaspirillum sp. SJZ099. Its description in RNAcentral is "tRNA-Thr". It matches the Rfam family "tRNA". From Rfam's summary of the family: Transfer RNA (tRNA) molecules are approximately 80 nucleotides in length. Their secondary structure includes four short double-helical elements and three loops (D, anti-codon, and T loops). Further hydrogen bonds mediate the characteristic L-shaped molecular structure. tRNAs have two regions of fundamental functional importance: the anti-codon, which is responsible for specific mRNA codon recognition, and the 3' end, to which the tRNAs corresponding amino acid is attached (by aminoacyl-tRNA synthetases). tRNAs cope with the degeneracy of the genetic code in two manners: having more than one tRNA (with a specific anti-codon) for a particular amino acid; and 'wobble' base-pairing, i.e. permitting non-standard base-pairing at the 3rd anti-codon position. Lineage: Bacteria; Pseudomonadati; Pseudomonadota; Betaproteobacteria; Burkholderiales; Oxalobacteraceae. The record is from RNAcentral. RNAcentral also lists the same sequence under 2 other names.
GCUGAUGUAGCUCAGUUGGUAGAGCAACUGAUUCGUAAUCAAGUUUCGCGCUUCAGCA